RNAcentral lists this ribosomal RNA (253 nucleotides) under uncultured bacterium. Its description in RNAcentral is "partial 16S ribosomal RNA". It matches the Rfam family "Bacterial small subunit ribosomal RNA", at positions 524 to 776 of the family's 1533-position model. The record is from RNAcentral.
UACGGGGGGGGCAAGCGUUGUUCGGAAUUACUGGGCGUAAAGGGUUCGUAGGUGGCCAACUAAGUCAGACGUGAAAUCCCUCAGCUUAACUGGGGAACUGCGUCUGAUACUGGUUGGCUUGAGUGCAGGAGAGGAACGCGGAAUUCCAGGUGUAGCGGUGAAAUGCGUAGAUAUCUGGAGGAACACCGGUGGCGAAGGCGGCGUUCUGGACUGUAACUGACACUGAUGAACGAAAGCCAGGGUAGCAAACGGG